This 478-nucleotide ribosomal RNA is filed under the name uncultured anaerobic ammonium-oxidizing bacterium. Its description in RNAcentral is "bacterial SSU rRNA". It matches the Rfam family "Bacterial small subunit ribosomal RNA", at positions 365 to 833 of the family's 1533-position model. The record is from RNAcentral.
UUCGCAAUGCCCGAAAGGGUGACGAAGCGACGCCGCGUGCGGGAAGAAGGCCUUCGGGUUGUAAACCGCUGUCGGGAGUUAGGAAAUGCAAGGAUGUUAAUAGCGUCCUUGCUUGACUAAGGCUCCGGAGGAAGCCACGGCUAACUCUGUAUCAGCAGCCGCGGUAAUACAGAGGCGGCAAGCGUUGUUCGGAAUUAUUGGGCGUAAAGAGCACGUAGGCGGCUGUGUAAGUCGGUUGUGAAAGCCUUCCGCUUAACGGAAGAACGGCAUCCGAUACUGCAUAGCUUGGGUGCGGGAGGGGAGAGUGGAACUUCUGGUGGAGCGGUGAAAUGCGUAGAUAUCAGAAGGAACACCGGCGGCGAAGGCGACUCUCUGGUCCGUAACUGACGCUGAGUGUGCGAAAGCUAGGGGAGCAAACGGGAUUAGAUACCCCGGUAGUCCUAGCCGUAAACGAUGGGCACUAAGUAGAGGGGUUUUA